AUUAGCUACCAUAGCUAUUUUGGAAAUUCCUUCAGUUGACGUUUCUGGUGAUUUAGACGACCAAGACAAUCUCUCUCCUUCGCAUUUGGUGACCAAUGCAAGCAAAAUUGUUGUGUCAUUCAGGUUCGUUCAACCACUGUUUGCUCCAUUCAAGCUUCUUCAUUUAGUCAUUGCCUUGCUUUCAAGUUUGUUCUCACAUUUUGAUACUCAAGCUUUGUGCUGCCAUAUGUUGUUUACAAGAAUCUGUUGGUAACAAAGUCACUUAGAUGAGCCAAUAUUUGAUGGACGAGUUCAAGAAUGGAGGAAAAGAGGUGUACUUAGCACCCUAUUUGAAUAAUUUCUUGUAGUUCUCUUAUAUUCAAUACACAAGAAAACUAUUGACUUACUUAUUAGACACAUCAUCGAUUCGUCUUUGGAAGCAUGCUUGAGGUUGUAGGGGCUUCCUCCGAUAGUUAAAAAGAAACUUCAAUAUAUUGCCCCCAAGAUAUUUAAAAAUCCACAUCCAUUUUCCCAUGAAGACAUGGAAGAUAUCCACACCACAUGGGCAUGUUCUUUUAUUGAGGCUAUUGAGAAUUGAUUUAUGUUUUUGUAGAUUGUUUAUGAAGUUUAAUUUAUACAUUCUUUCAAUUUAAAUGAUAGAUAUUGUAUAUUGUAUAGAUUAGUAUUGAAUUGGACAACAAUAUGUAACUUACAUUCUAUUA
Non-coding RNA from Cajanus cajan (pigeon pea), 701 nucleotides. NCBI's taxonomy places the organism in Eukaryota, Viridiplantae, Streptophyta, Magnoliopsida, Fabales, Fabaceae. The record is from RefSeq and is a predicted model, not a curated record.